CAGAAUCACCGAUAUUUAAGUAUGGGUGGAGAGAGCGGGGAGAGCAAACGAUUCGUCGUCCUCCGCCCGGCGUGAUGUGACGUAGUGGUUCUC
Molecule: non-coding RNA, 93 nt
Organism: Apis mellifera (honey bee)
Lineage: Eukaryota; Metazoa; Arthropoda; Insecta; Hymenoptera; Apidae
Source: RefSeq, marked provisional